GGGGAGAUAAUUUCAUAAGUUCCUUUGAACUUGAGCAUUCCAUCCUGGUGAAUACCACUUUCAUGCGCAAAAGCAUUGGCUCCAACAAUAGCUUUGUGUGGUUGUACAUGCAGUCCAGAAUAUUCUGCUACCAUCUUGCUUGCCAAAACAAUAUGCUUGGUGUUGAUACCCGUAUAAAGUCCUCCCAUUAGUUCCUUGCGACACUUAAUUGC
Molecule: unclassified non-coding RNA, 212 nt
Filed under: Hevea brasiliensis (rubber tree)
Lineage: Eukaryota; Viridiplantae; Streptophyta; Magnoliopsida; Malpighiales; Euphorbiaceae
Source: RNAcentral